GAAUUGCGAAAAGUAAUGCGACUUGCAUAAAUCGUGAACCAUCGAAUCUUUGAACGCACACUGCGCCUUUUGGUACCCCAAAAGGCCUGCCUGUCUGAGCAUCGUCUUCCAUCCGCUUGCCCGCCGCCGCGCCCAGCGCGCGGCCGGGCAGAGGUGGGCUUCCGGGCCCGGCCCGGUGGCCUGAAAGGCACGCAGCGCGCGGCGCGCCGCGCAGCAGUGCGGCGGCUCGGCCCACGGUGAUGUGAUCGGACCGCACGGUUCGUCCCAGCGCCGCGGCCGGCCGCGGCACGCGCGGCACGCGCACGCGCGCGAUCGCACGAGCGGCGGCGCGGCCCCCCACGGGCGGCCCGCCCGCGCACCACACCGAUCUCAGAUCAGGCAGGAGUACCCGCUGAACUUA
RNAcentral lists this unclassified non-coding RNA (400 nucleotides) under uncultured fungus. RNAcentral's name for it is "sequence contains ITS1". The stretch from base 1 to 104 matches the Rfam family "5.8S ribosomal RNA", at positions 50 to 154 of the family's 154-position model. The record is from RNAcentral. Lineage: Eukaryota; Fungi.